This is a long non-coding RNA of Apodemus sylvaticus (European woodmouse), 844 nucleotides long. RefSeq lists it as uncharacterized. The transcript has 5 exons. The record is from RefSeq and is a predicted model, not a curated record. NCBI's taxonomy places the organism in Eukaryota, Metazoa, Chordata, Mammalia, Rodentia, Muridae.
GCUUUAUGCCCAGAGAAGCAGAGAAACGUGAGGAAGGCUGUCGGUGACUCACCCCCUGGAAAACUUCAUCAAGCUGAUUAGGUUGUCAGCUGGCCAGUGUGCUCCAAGGAUUUCUUUGUCACCUUGUCACUGCUAGGGUUACAGACUACACCUGAGAUCCUUCAUUCAAUCUGCUUCCCGUGUUGUUACCAAGAGCCCAUAUGUGAAACCUGCUUCCUAUAGGAUGCUCCUGACCAACCAUAGCUGUCUUAGCUGAGCUGUUUCAACUUCUUCUGUCACAUAUAUACAUAUGGUGGCUGGGGACCAGGGACUGAUGAGUGUAGCUUACCAAAGGCUCUUUGCCUGAAGAUUGAUCAGAAAAUCAUUCUGCUGCAUACAGAAGACAUGUGAGAGAAGCUGACCAAAAUCAAGGAGGCUGGUAGCCCUGGAUGGCCUAGAACUCUCUAUAUGACCUUGGACUCUAUAUCCUCUUGUCUCUUCAUCCCGGGGAUUACAAACUAGAGUUACUAUGUCCCAAUUCUGUGGGCUUUGUACAUGCUAGGCAAGUGGUCUACCAACUGAGCCAGCUAUACACACCCUCCCACAACUCAACUAGGUUUUCGAUGCAUUUCUUCCACCUUGGAUUUCCUUAGAUACUGAGUACAGAAAGCAAAGAGCUGGGGCUAAGGUGCCAUAACAGGUAUUCUUUAGGGGUGAAAUUUGAAUGUCUUUGCUCUAAGAAAAUGCAUCCUUGUCAUAUGUAGUUCAAGGUGGUAAGGUUUGGAAUCUGAGCUUAUUUACCUUCUUUGUAGCUCUGAAUUUUGUCUCCUCAACCAUAUGCCUGCUCUCAAUGAUGAAGGUAAUU